GUGGGGAAUAUUGGACAAUGGGCGAAAGCCUGAUCCAGCCAUGCCGCGUGUGUGAAGAAGGUCUUCGGAUUGUAAAGCACUUUAAGUUGGGAGGAAGGGCAGUAAGUUAAUACCUUGCUGUUUUGACGUUACCGACAGAAUAAGCACCGGCUAACUACGUGCCAGCAGCCGCGGUAAUACGUAGGGUGCACGCGUUAAUCGGAAUUACUGGGCGUAAAGCGCGCGUAGGUGGUUUUGUAAGUUGGAGGUGAAAUCCCCGGGCUCAACCUGGGAACUGCCUCCAAAACUGCAUGACUAGAGUACGGUAGAGGGUAGUGGAAUUUCCUGUGUAGCGGUGAAAUGCGUAGAUAUAGGAAGGAACACCAGUGGCGAAGGCGACUACCUGGACUGAUACUGACACUGAGGUGCGAAAGCGUGGGGAGCAAACAGGAUUAGAUACCCUUGUAGUCC
This 450-nucleotide ribosomal RNA is filed under the name uncultured bacterium. RNAcentral's name for it is "bacterial SSU rRNA". It matches the Rfam family "Bacterial small subunit ribosomal RNA", at positions 354 to 796 of the family's 1533-position model. The record is from RNAcentral.